CCUACGGGAGGCAGCAGUGAGGAAUAUUGGUCAAUGGACGAGAGUCUGAACCAGCCAAGUAGCGUGAAGGAUGACUGCCCUAUGGGUUGUAAACUUCUUUUAUAAAGGAAUAAAACGAGGCACGUGUGCCUUAUGGCAUGUACUUUAUGAAUAAGGAACGGCUAACUCUGUGCCAGCAGCCGCGGUAAUACGGAGGAUCCGAGCGUUAUGAGGAUUUAGUGGGUUUAAAGGGAGCGUAGAUGGGUUGUUAAGUCAGUUGUGAAAGUUUGCGGCUUAACCGUAAAAUUGCAAUUGAUACUGGUAGUCUUGAGUACAGUUGAGGUAGGCGGAAUUCGUGGUGUAGCGGUGAAAUGCUUAGAUAUCACGAAGAACCCCGAUUGCGAAGGCAGCUUACUAAACUGUGACUGACAUUGAUGCUCGAAAGUGUGGGUAUCAAACAGGAUUAGAUACCCUGGUAGUC
This 460-nucleotide ribosomal RNA is filed under the name uncultured bacterium. Its description in RNAcentral is "partial 16S ribosomal RNA". It matches the Rfam family "Bacterial small subunit ribosomal RNA", at positions 338 to 795 of the family's 1533-position model. The record is from RNAcentral.